Molecule: ribosomal RNA, 377 nt
Filed under: uncultured bacterium
Lineage: Bacteria
Description: bacterial SSU rRNA
Rfam family: Bacterial small subunit ribosomal RNA
Source: RNAcentral
GGACGUAGGGGGCGAGCGUUGUCCGGAAUCACUGGGCGUAAAGGGCGCGUAGGCGGCCUGGCAAGUCGGAUGUGAAAGGUCCCGGCUCAACCGGGGAGGUGCGUUCGAAACUGCCGGGCUUGAGGGCAGGGGAGGGCAGCGGAAUUCCCGGUGGAGCGGUGAAAUGCGUAGAGAUCGGGAGGAACACCAGUGGCGAAGGCGGCUGCCUGGCCUGGCCCUGACGCUGAGGCGCGACAGCGUGGGGAGCGAACGGGAUUAGAUACCCCGGUAGUCCACGCCGUAAACGAUGGGUGCUAGGUGUGGGAGGUAUCGACCCCUUCCGUGCCGGAGCUAACGCACUAAGCACCCCGCCUGGGGAGUACGGCCGCAAGGCUGAA